This 12613-nucleotide long non-coding RNA is filed under the name Homo sapiens (human). RNAcentral's name for it is "non-protein coding lnc-GNG5-9:6". The stretch from base 3724 to 3789 matches the Rfam family "mir-1255 microRNA precursor family". The record is from RNAcentral. Lineage: Eukaryota; Metazoa; Chordata; Mammalia; Primates; Hominidae.
GAAAGGACUCGCCUAGGGAGCCAGCGCGGUCCCAAAGGAGCCGCCGGCCCUGCCUCCCGGGAUCCGACCCCCGGUGCAGCCAGCCUGAAGUCGCCCGAGGGCAGGGCCGACCUCACCGAGCCGGGAAUGGCGUCUCAGGGGCAAGUGAGAACUGGCCUGAGAAGGGGACGGUAGGGGCAGAAGACGCCAGGCUGCCUCUUGGACCAGCAGCGCCGGCCCAGAGCCACACGACUCUCUGUGGCACUGGCGACAAAGCGGGGAAAGUUUCUGGCUAAGACUUUCACGGAGAGGCAGUUCGCUGGCGUUUAGUGUGGGGGCUCCCCGGGGAAGCCGGUCUUUGGAAAGUGGAGGGUGGAGGUGUGGCGUUCUCGGGGUCCCCGCCGAGUCGUGCCACCACCCCGUCCCGCUCCCCGAGCACUGCCAGCAGCCCCAGGCGAGCCGGGGCUCUCCGUGGGGCAGGGCACGCUUCUGCCCCCACUCCACUCCACAGUGAGAGCCCACGUCCGUGGGUGCAACGAGCUGCAGGAGCACCGGACACACGGCCAAGAUGUGUUUUUGGGAGGGCAGAGCGGUUUUCAUUGCGGCAUUCUUCGUUUCCUUUCAUCCUGGAGAGAGGAGAGGGCGGGCGCCUUCCCACGCCCUGGGCGCACAGGCAGAUCACUUACCUCCCCGCAUGGCCGCGCCGGGAGGUUUGCCCCGCGCGGAGCUCGGCGGCCGCCACGCGCAAAGCCCCGGUGCAGCCGGCCGGACGCGCGCGGCACGCCGGGAGUUGUAGUCCAGCGCCGAUGUGCCAUUCUCUGCUUGGAUGCACACAGAAUAUUCUUGCUCACAGAAUAACUCAGUUGAAGCCCUGAGCAUGUAAAAGGAGGGUGAGUAGUUAGUUGCACCUUACACAUGCAGGGUGCUUUAUAGCUCUCUUUACAAAGCACUUUGUACUUGAUUGAUUCAUUAUAUAAGAACCGUAAAGCAACUCUGAGAGUUAGUCAGAGAAAAGCUAAAGAUGCAGGGAGUUUUUUGUUUGUUUGUUUGUUUGUUUGUUUUUUGAGACGGGGUCUUGCUCUGUCGCCCAGGCUGGAGUGCAGUAGCGCGAUCUCGGCUCAAUGCAGGGAUUUUUGUGUAUCUGCAUCUGCAGAGGUUGUUGGAGCCAUCCUGUCUAUUCGUUUCUUUCUCCAGCCUCUCUUAGCAGCUGGGAAGAGAGAGUGGAGAGAAAGAGGGAUCAGGACAGAUGUGGACACGGCAGAAGAAGAGGAGCCUGCUGUGACGGACUUCCUUGAAAUGACAAACAAGUAAAUAUUUAAGGGAAUAAGUAAAACCAAAAGAAGGACUCAUGGGUUGGAAGAAUGGAAGGAGAAGGAAAAGGCAGAUGGGAUAGGGAUAGACAUUGAAGAUUGCAAACAGGCUAGUAGCAAAGAAAGCAAAAACAAACAGGGUUUUUAGAAGCCAGAUAAACCUUGGAUUCCUGGUGUUGUCACUUCUGAGCUAUCUCUGUUACCUUAGGUAAGUUCUUUAACCUCCCCAAACCUCUUUUGCCUCAUCUGUAAAAUUAAAAAAAAAAAAGUUCUGACUUUAUCAUGUGGCUGUGCCUAUUAAAAAGAGACAGGAAGCACAUAGUAUAGUGCUGGGCAUAUGCUAGGCAAUUAAUGUUAUUUACUAUUAUUAUCUGCAGAAAUUCUCUUUGUGUUAGUAUCAAAAAAUAAAUUGGAGUGGAAGUACCAGUUAGGAGGCUGUGACAAUACUCUAAGCUACUGGCAAUGAUAGCUUGAACUACAUUGACAGAAAGGCAACUAUGUUGCCAUAUGAGAUAGGGAAAACAGAGUACAAUCAAUUGGAUGUGGGGAAGGAAGAAAAAGAAUCAAAUUGGUUGUUAUUUCUAGAUUAAGUAGAUGAUGUUGUCAUUUUCAUAAAUAGAUACAACUGAUGGAAAAACAGGUUUUGGAGGAAGAUGACCACUGGCUUUCCUCAUUUUAUUGUGCUUUGCUUUAUUGCAGUUCACAGACAAUGUGUUUUUGUUGUUGUUGUUGUUGUUUAUUUUACAAAUUGACAGUUUUUGGUAACCCUGUGUUGAACAAGUCUAUUAGUGCAAUUUUUCCAGCAGUAUGUGCUCACUUCAUGUCUCUGUGUCACAUUUUGGGCAUUCUCAUAAUAUUUGAAAGUUUUUCAUUUUUAUUGUAUCUGUUGUGGUGAUCUGUGAUCACUGAUCUUUGAUGUUACGAUUGUAAUUGUUUUAGGGUGCCACAGACCAUGCCCAUUAAUCUAUAAAUGUUGUGUGUGUUCUGACUGCUCCACUUACCAGCUGUUCCCCUCCUCUCUCCCUCUCCUGCUCCUCCCUAUUCCCUGAGACACAACAAUAUUGAAAUUCGGCCAAUUAAUAUCCUUACCAUGGCCUCUAAGUGUUCAAGUGAAAGGAAGAGUCAUACUUCUCUCACUUCAAAUCAAAAGCUAGAAAUGAUAAACUUAGUGAGGAAGGCAUGUCAGAAAUCCAGAUAAGCAAAAGUUAGACGUCCGGUGCCAAACAGUUAGCCAAAUUGUGAAUGCAAACAAAAAGUUCUUGAAGGAAAUUAAAAAUGCUGUUCUAACGCAUACCUGAAUGAUAAGAAAGUGAAACAGUCUUAUUCCUGAUAUGGAGAAAGUUUUAGCGGUCUGCAUAGAGGAUCAAACCAGCCCCAACAUUCCUUUAAGCCAAAGCCUAAUCCAGAGCAAGGCCCUAACUCAAGGGUGGAGAGGUAAGGAAACUGUAGAAAAGUUUGAAGCUAGCAGAGUUUGAUUUCUUAAACGAGGUUUAAGAAAAGAAGCAUAACAAUGAAGUACAAGGUGAAGAAGCAAGUGCUGAUGGAGAAGCUGUAACACGUUAUCCGGAAGAUCUAGCAAAGGUAGAUGGAGGUGGCUACAAUAAUCAGCAGUUUAUCAAUGUAGACUUAAUAGCCUUCUAUUGGAAGAAGAUGCCAUGUAAGAUUUUUCUAGCCAGAGAAAAGUCAAAGCCUAACUUCAAAGCUUCAAAGGACAGGCUUAUUAGGGGCUAAUGCACCCAGUGAUCUUAAGUUGAAGCCAAUUUUCAUUUACCAUUAUGAAAAUUCUAGGGCCCUCAAGAAUUAUGCUAAAUUGACUUUACUUGUGCUUUAUAGAUGAGACAAAAAGGCCUGGGUGACAGCAUAUCUGUUUACAACAUGAUUUUCUGAAAAUUUUAAGCCUACUGUUGAGAACUACUACUCACAAAAAAAGAUUCCUUUCAAAAUAUUAGUGCUCAUUGACAAUACACCUGUUCAGCCAAGAACUCUGAUGGAGAUGUACAAGAAGAUGAAUGUUGUUUUCAUGCCAGCUAGUAAAACAUCCAUUCUGUAGCCCAUGGAUCAAGCAGCAAAUCUGACUCUCAAUUCUUAUUAUUUAAGAAAUCCUUUUUAUAAGUCUAUAGCAUCCAUAGAUAAUGAUUCCUCUGAUGGAGCUGGGCAUCAUAAUUGAAAGCCUUCUGGAAAGGAUUCAUCAUCUUAUAUGCCAUUAAGAACGUUCAUAAUUCAUGAGAGGAGGUCAAAAUAUAACAUUAACAUGAGUUUGGAAGAAGCUGAUUCCAAGCCUCAUGGAUAACUUUGAGGGGUUCAAGACUUCAGUGGAUGAAGUCCCUGCAGAUGUGAUAGAAAUAGCAAGAGAAAUAGAAUUGGAAGUGGUGCAUGAAGAUAUGACUGAAUUGCUGCAAUCUCAUGAUCAAACUUGAAUGGAUGAGGAGGUGCUUCUUAUGAUUGAGCAAAUAAAGUGGUUUCUUGAGAUGGAAACUAUUCCUGGUGAAUAUGCUAUGAACAUUGUUCAAGUGACAACAGAGAAUUUAGAAUAUUUCAUAAACAUAGCUGAUAAAGCAGCAUCAGGGUUUUAGAGGAUUGACUGCAAUUCUGAAAGAAGUUUUACUGUGGUUAAAAUGCUGUUCAGUAGCAUCACAUGCUACAGGGAAAUCUUUCAUUAAGGGAAGAGUCAAUUGAUGUGGCAAACUUUACUGUUAUCUUAAGAAAUUGCCACAGCCACGCCAACCAUCAGCAACCGACUACCCUAAUGAGUUACCAGCCAUCAACAUUGAAGCAAGACCCUCCACCAGCAAACAGAUUACAACUUGCUAAAGGCUUUAAGAUCGUUAGCAUUUUUUAAGCAAUAAAGUAUUUUUAAAUUAAGAUAUGCACUUUUUAAAAGAUAUAAUGCCAUUGCAUACUGAAUAUACUACAAUAUAGUGUAAACAUUUAUAUGCACUGGGAAACAAAAAAAUGUGUGUGACUUGCUUUAUUGCAGUGGUCUAGAACUGAGCCCACAAUGUUCCCGAGGGGCCUGCAGUUUGAUUUUGGACAUGCAUAACUUAAGGGUUUAUCUGUGUGAAUGACCAAGUGGAAGUUGGAAAUGUGGAUUUGGAUUUUUCAUGUAGAAAUGGGACUUUGAGAGUCAAUUACUUAGGAGAGGAAGUUGAAGAGCAUGUGAAGAGGAAAAAGGGAGGACAGCAGGCAUGGGCAUGGGGAGGUGGGAAGUCAGAUAAUAAUACCAGGCAGGAAUUGGUUAAGGAGGAAAGGAAAGCUGCAGGGGUGUAGUAACAUGGGGUGCAAGGGAGGAUGGAGAGAUGAGGAGCAGCUUCUUAACAGGUCAUAUGCUCUAGAGAGGUAGCCAAUGACAACAGAAAAGAGGCCUCUGGAUUUAUAGAUCAAGAAACUAUUGGGAUUGAACUGCUUCCAGGGUUUUUUUUUUGAAAUUUACCAGAGUGAUUUUGCUUGUCCCAGUGAUUGGGGAGUGUAUUAGUGCGUUUUCACACUGCUAUAAAGAAAUACCCAAGACUGAGUAAUUUAUAAAAAGGUUUAAUCGACUCACAGUUCCACAUGGCUGGGGAGGCCUCAGGAAACUUACAAUCAUGGAGGUAGGGGAAGCAGGCACUCUCUUCACAACAUGGCAGGAAAGAGAGAAGUGCUGUGAAGGAGGAACUUCCAAAGUUAUAAAACCAUAAGAUCUCAUGAGAACUCACUCACUAUCAUGAGAAGAGCCUGGGGGAAACUGCCUGCAUGAUCCAAUCACCUGCCUCCCUUGACACAUGGAGAUUACAAUUUGAGAUGAGAUUUGGUUGGAGACACAGAGCCAAACCAUAUGAGGGAGUGGGGCACUACUGGAAUAUAGUUGGUGGGGUCAAAGAUUCUAGACAUCUUCCAUUGACCAGGACAGUCGCGCAGAGCGAAGAAUUGUCCUGCAUCCUGUGUGACUUAGUUGUCCCACUGCUCAGCUCAUUUAUGUAGGUGAAAAAUCUGUUUAUAAUUAUCUGAGCCUAGAAUCUAUUUUAUAUAUAAACAUAAAUUGUUUUCCACACAGUUUUAAGUUAUAUCAAAUUUUCCUGGAAUGUUGUAAAUUGGAUGGCAAUAUCAUUUAUGGAAUUUGAAUCACCAAUACAGUUCAUUUUGUGGCUGUCUCUUUCAUGGUGAUUCUGCAUAUGGAACAAGUAUCUGACUACUUUAUUGUGUCUUUUAGCUUAGGGAUGCUUGAGCAGUUGCAUGUUGGAUCAUGCAGUUUUAUUAUUAUUAUUAUUAUUUUUUUUUUUUUUGAGACGAAGUCUCACUCUUGUCAUCCAGGCUGGAGUGCAAUAACGCUAUCUCAGCUCACUGCAACCUCUGCCUCCUGAGUUCAGCAGUUCUCCUGCCUCAGCCUCCCGAGUAGCUGGGAUUAUGGGUGCCUGCCACCACGCCCACCUAAUUUUUGUAUUUUGAGUAGAGACGGGGUUUCACCAUGUUGGCCAGGCUGGUCUUGAACUCCUGACCUCAGGCAAAUCACCUGCCUUGGCCUCCCAAAGUGCUGGGAUUACAGGUGUGAGCCACCGCGCCUGGUGGAUCAUGCAAUAUUUUAUGGUAAAUUACUUUAUUUUGUACUUUAUAUUAUAGUUAAGGUAUUGCUUUAAUUUUAGAAAAUUACAUAGGUAGGUAGCUUAUGGCUUCUACUUCACAAUGGUAAAAAGCAUAUUGUUUCAUAUUUGUUAUGAAAAGGGAUCAUUAAGAUUGACAAGAUGGAGAGCUAUUUAUUCCUUCAGUCAAUAAACAUCUCUGGAGUCCCUACUCAUUCUGGGUACUUGAGAUACAUCAAUAUAUGAAACAGAAAAAGUUUAUUGCCCUUUUGGAGUUAAUAUUGUAAUGUGGGAGAGGCAGAUGAUAAAUAAUAAACAUAAACAAAAUAAGUAAAUUCUCUAUUAGAAAGUUAUAAAUGCUGUGAAAAAUAAAAGGAGGAUAAAGGCAGUUGGGAGUGCAGGAGAGGGUGUGGGUUGAAAUGUUAAAUAUAAUGAUCAGGGUAAACUUCAUUGAGAAGGUGAUAAUCAAGGAAAGAUCUGGAGUUGGUAAGAGAAUGGCCUUGUGGAUUUCUGAGAAAAGAAAUAGCAAGGAUGCCAGUGUGGUUGGAUAUGGGCAGGGGUCAAGUAGAAGGAGGACAGGAAAACCCCGGGGCUGGAAACAAAUAAUGUAGGGCUUGUGGGCAUUGCAAGAAAUUUCAGCUUUCACUCUGAAUGAAAUGGGCAGCUGUUGGAGAGUUCAGAGCGGAAGAGUGACAUGGUCAGGCAUAGGUUUAAAGGAUUAUUCUGGCUGCUCUAUCAAGGAUAAAUCUUAACAGGCAAUGGUGGAAGCAGACUAGGCAAGAUGCUAUUGUAGUAAUCCAGGCAAGAAAUAUUAGUGGCUUGAACUAGAGUGGUAGCAACGAAAAGUGAUGGUGUGGAUGUGGAAAAGAAAUCAAGAAUUCUAUAGGGCAUAUUGGAAGAGUUUCAGGGGUUUGGGAGGGACGGAAGAUGGAGAUACAUUAAAGUAUGUUCAGGGCCUUAUAGGAAUGGGACUUGGGGGAUGACCUAGUAGUCUAGGACUUCUUGUGGUGACUCACAUAAACAGGGAUAAAGGGUAUAAUGAAAUCAGUCCCAGAGAAGGCAAGAAAUAAAAUGGUGAAGAGGUUGUGAGUGUGGGGGGUAUUGAUGAAUGUUUGAGUUCCCUGACUCUGGAUGGAGCUGAGAAUCAGGUGGACUCUUGAUCCACGUUGAUGGAAUGUUGAAGGCCUGGGGAGAGGAGGACUCAGUUCCUAGGCCAACGCUUAUUCAUCACUCCUGUCAGGAGCAGGCUGACUUGUUCAGAGUGAGUAGUCCUCUCUACCUCUGCUCUUGACCUUUUUGAUGGACUUAGCCCUUUUGAUGCAGUUGAGGAUUGGGGCAAGCUGGUAAUUACUCUAAGCACAAAGGCCCAGAAACAAUGAUGAUUCAAUAAAGUAUAUUCUAGAACACAGACUGAGGUAGACUUAAAAUUCUGGAAAUGGAGAAAUUUUGAGAAAUUUGGCAAAUGGGGAAUUUUGGCAAAGAAGGGCAGGAGAAGGUUUGGUCCUUAAUGUGGAAGGAUGCUCUAAGAUUGGGGAUAGCAGACAACUGUGUUUGUACAGUGAAGUGAAGAAGCCACUAGAUGCAGAAAUGUGAAAAUUCAGAACAGAGGGUGUAACUGAUGUAAUAUUUUCCUAGAGAAGAAGGAACUAUUGAUUGUUGAUCUUUGGAAGAAAAGUGGCAUAGUUUCUUCCUAUAAGAAAAGAAAGAGGCCAGGCGCAGUGGCUCAUGCCUGUAAUCCCAGCACUUUAGGAGACUGAGGCAGGCAGAUCACUUGAGGCCAGGAGUUCGAGAACAGCCUGGCCAAUGUGGUGAAACCCUGUCUCUACUAAAAUACAAAAAUUAGCCGGGCGUGGUGGCAGGCACCUGUAAUCCCAGCUACUCAGGAGGCUGAGGCAGGAGAAUUACUUGAACCCAGGAGGUAGAGGUUACAGUGAGCUGGGAUCAUGCCAUUGCACUCCAGCCUGGGCGACAGAGCGAGACUCCAACUCAAAAAAAUAAAAAAAGAAAAGAAAGAAAGCAAAUGGAAUGAUUUAGUAAUAUUGAGGGAAAUUCUAAAGAGAAAAGGGGGUAUAACAUUAUUUAAAGAUUAUUUUUAUUUAUUGUGAAAAUACACUGUAUGAUAAAAAAAAUUAAAGCAAUCAGAAACUUAAAAUAGAAAGUGAAAAUUCCCAAUAAACCCAUUCCUAAAAUAAUCCCUGUUAAAUGAUAUAUAUUGUCUAAAUUUUUAUCCUGUGCUUGUGACUUCUUUUUGUAAAUGUUACAUGAGGUAUUAAUCCAUUCUUUCAUUGCUGUAAAGAAAUACCUGAGACUGAGUAAUUUAUAAAGGAAAGAGGUUUAAUUGGCCCAUGGUUCUGCAGGCUUUUUGGAAGCAAAGCAUGAUGCUGGCAUCUGCUUGGCUUCUGGGGAUGCCUCUGGAAGUAAAAUCACAGCAGAAGGCGAAGGAGCAGCAGGCACCUCACAUCGCCAGAGCAGAAGCAAGAGAGAGUGGGUGCCACACUUUUAAACAGCUAGAUCUCACCAGGACUCAUUCACUAUUGUGAGGACAGUACCAAGGGGAUGAUGUAAAACUAUUAAAGAGAAAUCCACUCCCAUGAUUCAAUCACCUAUCACCAGGCCCCACUUCCAACAUUGAGGAUUAUAAUUCAACAUGAGAUUUGGGCAGGGAAACACAUCCAAACCAUAUCGUGUGAGUACCUAAAAUAUGAGUAUUUUUUCUUUGCAGGCUCUCAGGUUAAAUAAUAAAUAAAAAUUUGUUGAGCUUCUAUUACAUAACAGAUAUUAUUGCAUCAAUCUUUUCGAUAAUUGUUAUUCACAUCUUCCAUAUAAUAUCUAAUUUUUCUUGAUUAUUCAAGAAUAAAAAGAAAUUUGUUAAAGCCUCCUAACAUUUAUCUUGUUGUUUUCUUAUUUCUUGAAGUUUUGCUUUAUGUAUUUUAAUGCUGUUAUUUGAUACAUAAGCAUUUAUACUAAUAAUUUAUUUAUUGUGAGCUGUGUCAUUUGCCAUUACAAAGUGACUUUCUUUGUUCCAUGUAUUAAAAAGCUUUGUUCCAAGCUUUUUAAUAGCUUAUUCUAUCCCACUUGAAAUUAUUUGAAUUAGAUAUGUUUAACCUUAUCUCGAUCAUGUGUUUAUUUUUUGAAUUCACAUUGUUCUUUUUUUCUCUUUGGCUUUACAAUCUGUACUUUCUUUGCUUUUGUUUUGUCUUGGUUUUAUUUUUAUCUUCCUCUAUAUUUUAGUAUCAAAGAUUAACAAAGCUGGACUCUAAAGUGGCAAGGACAGACUUUAAUCAGUAAGUAAUAGAGACAAUCUACAAUAGAGUAAUCAGAGAAUAGAGAUAAGCAUCCAGCAUGAACUGAACUCUGAUUUGUAUAGAGAUGACCAACUAAAAUAGGAGUAGGACGGGGGUGAAUGAGGGCUCAGGAGAGUCAGAGAAGUGAAACAUAACAAAGGGUUCACAUCACAAAGUGGUAACGCCAGCUGUUUCUGGUAGGUGAUAGUUACAAACACUAGGAUUCUAUCUUCCUACAGACUGGGAGACAGGGGCCCUAUUCUUCUUGAUUGUAUUUCAAAUAAAUGGCUUUUGGGUCCUUGAGAAAGACACCCCUGAGUUGUAGGAGAUACAUGUACAUCUCAAAGAGACAGAGGAAGGAGUCACAGUUGCAAGCCCUUUUUAGUAAAUGUUCUAAGAAAGGGUGGUCAGGGCAUACUGCCAGGUGUUGGCUCAAACAAAUAGUAAGUUAUUUGGCAUUCUUGAGCUUUCUUAGUGAGGCACUUUAAAAGGAGCUAAUGUCAACCUAGUGAUGUGGCCUUGAAAUGGUGGAGGAGAGAAAGUUCUUAAAAAAAAAAAAAAAAGAAAGUAUGUUAGUUUUUGUACAAGUCUUUAUAGGCCAAGACUGAUACCUUACCAAGAAGAGGGCUUAGAGGAGAAGAGCUAGUCUGGUCAAGGAAAAUAUUUGUCAUUAGUUAUUUAUUGCUGUGUAACAAACUACCCCAAAACUUAGCAGCUUCUAACAACACACACUUAUUAUCUCACACUUUCUGUGGGUCAGGAGUCCUGGUGUGGCUUAGUUGAAUCCUCUGCUUCAGGGUCUCUCACACGGCUGCAAUCAAGGUAAUGGACAGGGCUCUUCUCUCCUGAAGGCUAGAUUUGGGGAGGAUCUGCUUUCUUACCUAUAUGGUUGGAGGCAGGAUUUGGUUCCUUAUGGGCUGCUCAACUGAAGUCCUCAGUUUUUGUCACAUGGGCUUCUCCAUAGGGUAGCUCACAACAUGGCAGCUGGCUUUAUCAAAACAAGUGAUAUGUGGGGAAAAGUCAGAGUAAGAGUGUAAGCAAGACAGAAGUCCUAGCCUUCUAUAGCCCAACUUCAGAAGGGAAAUCCUAUCACUUUUGCCACAUUCUUUUUGGUAAGGGCAAGUCAUUAGGUCUAGACUAACACAAAGGCAUGAAUGCCAGGAAGUGGGGACAAUUGGGAGCUGUUUAAGAAGGCUACCUGCCACACUCUAGCAAUUGGGGAGUUGUAAAGUCUGUUUUAAAUAAUAUGCUUACAUUUUUAUUUUUCAAUUAACUUUAGAAAUGCAAUGAUGAUGAAAUGAUGAAAUCAGUCUACUUAACUUCUCUCUUUUCUCUUCCCACCUCUUAGUUUGGAAAGCAAAUAUGAUUCUUGUUCCAGUCUAUUGUCAUCAAAAUAUUAUGAUUUAUAUUAUGUAUUUUUUUAGUAUUAAAACAACUAUAUUUAAUUUUAUGACUUAAAAUGCCAAUUACUUAAAUAUGUGUAGUAGACUUAAAGCUCACGGCUUAACCUUUUGUACAUCAUGACUUUCUCAUUCAUGAAUUUUAUUUUAUGGUUACUUAUCUGUUUAUUGUCUUAAUUUUUUUUCCUGACAGAUUUUUCAGAGGUGCAUAAAUGCUAUUUUUCUUGAAUUCUUGCAUAUUUGAGAAUUUAUUUCUGUCAUGAUUACACAUGAAGGUGGUUAGACCAGAUAAGUAUCGGGGGAACCAGCCCCCAAUAUUUCAAUGUAGGUUCUUUUCUAUUUUCCCUAAGUGUCGGCCGGUCUAAGAAAUAAAGGGAAAGAGCACAAAAGAGAGAAAUUUUAAAGCUGGGUGUCCGGGGGUUACAUCACAGGUCAUCAGGUUCCGUGAUGCCCCCAAGCCAAAAAACCAGCAAGUUUUUAUUAUGGAUUUCAAAAGGGGAGCGGGGUACAAAUAGAGUAUGGGUCACAGAGAUCACAUGCUUCAAGGGCAAUAAAAUAUCACAAGGCAAAUGGGGGCAGAGUGAGAUCACAGGACCAGGGAGAAAUUAGAAUUGCUGAUGAAGUUUCAUGUCCCACUGGGCACGCAUUGUCAUUGAUAACAUCUUAUCAGGAGACAAGUUUUGAGAGCAGACAACUGGUCUGACUAAAAUUUACUAGGCAGGAAUUUCCUAAUCCUAAUAAGCCUGAGGGCACUGCAGGAGACCGGGGCUUAUUUCAUCCCUUAUCUACAACUGUAUAAGACAGACACUCCCAGAGUGGCCAUUUUAGAGACCUCCCCCUAGGAAUGCAUUCUCUUUCUCAGAGCUGUUCCUUGCUGAGAGAAAGAAUUCAGACAUAUUUCUCCUAUUCACUUUUGUAAGAAGAGAAAUAUGACUCUGUUCUGUCUGGCCCAGCAGGCAGUCAGGCCCAGUGGUUAUCUCCCUUGUUCCCUGAAAAUCGCAGCCAUGCUGGUCCUUUUGGAUGCCCAGAUUUCAUAUUGUUCAAACACACAUGCUCUACAAACAAUUUGUGCAGAUAACGCAAUCAUCACAGGAUCCUGAGGCGACAUACAUCCUCAGUUUACGAAGAUGACAGCAUUAAGAGAUUAAAAUAAAGACAGGCCUAGGAAAUUAUAAGAGUAUUGACUGGGGAAGUGAUAAAUGUCCAAGAAAUCUUCACAAUUUAUGUUCAGCGAUUGCAGUAAAGACAGGCAUAAGAAAUUAUAAAAGUAUUAAUUUGGAGAAUGAAUAAAUGUCCAUGAAAUCUUCACAGUUUAUGUUCUUCUGCCAUGGCUUCAGCUGGUCCCUUCAUUCAGGGUCCCUGACUUCCUGCAACAGAUAUGGAAUGUUUUUUCUUCCUAUGUUUGUUAGCCAUUGCUCCAUUUUCUUCUAACAUUUAACAUUGCUUAGAAUAUGCCUGAUUCCUUUGUUUAUGAAGAUGACCUUUUUCCUUCUGCCUAGAUGACUAUAGGAUUCUAUUUCUUUUAGUCCUUAAAGUUCUAGAAAGAAAGCUUUUAUUAAAUUUGAUUGGAAUAUGGUGAGCCUUUUCAAAAUUCAAUUUGAAAACUUACUUUAGUUCAUAACAUUCUUCUAUUGUGUAAUUUUUCAUUUCCAUUUGCUCAUUCACAUCUUCAAAGAUAAAAGUCACUCAUGUUUUAGUUCUCCAUUGUCCAUGGUCUACAACUUUCAUCUUCUUUCUGAUCACCUUCAUUCCAUGUCAUUUUCCACCAAAUUCCAUGUGAUUAUUUUCUUCAAUAGCUUCCUCUUCAUGUCCAAUUUUCUGCCGUUUAAAUUCUCUUCCUUGGUACUUUUAAUGUGAUUUUCAGUUAUUUAAUUUCUUCUCAUUUGAUUCCUCUGCUUUUCUAGAUUUCUCUUAUUUUUACUGUUGCAUGGGUUCUGUGAUUUUUUUUUUCUAGAUUAAAAAAAAAAACUACCUAAACUCUUUGAAGGAAGUCGAUGAGAUCUAGUUGAUUUGCUUAAGAAUAAAGGGAGUGAUUUUCCUGCUUUUCCCUCUGUUUACCUGAGUAGUGUUUGAAUCAUCCACUUAUA